Molecule: long non-coding RNA, 829 nt
Organism: Ahaetulla prasina
Lineage: Eukaryota; Metazoa; Chordata; Lepidosauria; Squamata; Colubridae
Exons: 3
Source: RefSeq, a predicted model, not a curated record
CAUUACUGAGCGCACUCGUGCCCGAAGCGUCAAGUUCGAAGCGUAAACAAGGGCAAAUGAAUGAAGCGUUUGUGCGCAUGUGCACCUUAGACGGGUAUGGAGAGCAUUAGAAGGUUAAGGUGGCAUUUUGGGCUGCAAUUUUAUACACAUGUAUUGAAACCCGUAUUUAUAUAUAGGACUGCACAAAAAGAUCUUAAGGAAAAAGCACCUAUGAAGAAGCUUGGGGUCAAGUAUGUAUGAACUAUUUAAAGACAGAAAAUGCAAGGUAACUAAGAACUAUAAAGACAGUUUCCUGAGAAUAAAUUGCAUUGAAAAUUGCAGCCCAACAUCUUGAAUAAAUAACCUGAACUGAAACUACAGACAACUGGCAACAUUAAGGAGCAAAAAAUGGAUAAGCAAAAAUGUAUGUAAAACACUACUUUCUAAAACACAGUACCUGUUGCAACCUGGAUGUUACUUAACCAUGCAUCUAAAACAUUGUUUUCUAAAACUGUAGGGUAACUGUUGCAACCUGGAUGUUACUUAAUGAAGUAGCAAUCCUUGGCAUCCUACAUAUUUUCUGUUACUCCUCACUCUGAAGAAAAUAUGACUGCAAAGGAAGAAGAGCUAAGGGCAGAAUACAAAAUUAACCUACUGGUCCAAGUAUUUUGUGGAAAAAAAAUAGCACAUUGUCAAAUAUUAUGUACCCAAAAUAUGUUCCAUCUCUGUCAAUAAAAUAUCUGCCCUCCGCAUCUGUUGGGAUGUAAUGCCGGCCACUGAACAUGGCUGACAACAUGGUGUCUUCAUGACGUCUCAGUGUUGACAGCCUGGUCAUGAAAUGGGUGCCUCC